GAUGAACGCUGGCGGCGUGCCUAAUACAUGCAAGUCGAGCGAACGGACGAGAAGCUUGCUUCUCUGAUGUUAGCGGCGGACGGGUGAGUAACACGUGGAUAACCUACCUAUAAGACUGGGAUAACUUCGGGAAACCGGAGCUAAUACCGGAUAAUAUUUUGAACCGCAUGGUUCAAAAGUAAAAGACGGUCUUGCUGUCACUUAUAGAUGGAUCCGCGCUGCAUUAGCUAGUUGGUAAGGUAACGGCUUACCAAGGCAACGAUGCAUAGCCGACCUGAGAGGAGGGGCGGCCGCACGGGAACUGAGACAGGGCAAAGACUAGGAAGGGAGGCAGAAGUGGGGGAUUUUGGGGAAGGGGGGAAAGCAUGAUACAGCAGUGGGGAGGGAGUGAAGAAGGCCUUAGGGUCGUAAAGUACUGUUGUGAGGGAAGAAAAGUAGGCUAUGGAUAAUGGCGGAUAGUGACGGUACCUAAGAAAUAAGCAACGGCUAACUAAGUG
This 497-nucleotide ribosomal RNA is filed under the name uncultured bacterium. Its description in RNAcentral is "partial 16S ribosomal RNA". It matches the Rfam family "Bacterial small subunit ribosomal RNA", at positions 28 to 507 of the family's 1533-position model. The record is from RNAcentral.